UCAGGCCUAACACAUGCAAGUCGAACGGCAGCACGGGAGCAAUCCUGGUGGCGAGUGGCGAACGGGUGAGUAAUACAUCGGAACGUGCCCAGUCGUGGGGGAUAACUACUCGAAAGAGUGGCUAAUACCGCAUACGACCUGAGGGUGAAAGCGGGGGACCGCAAGGCCUCGCGCGAUUGGAGCGGCCGAUGUCAGAUUAGCUAGUUGGUGGGGUAAAGGCCUACCAAGGCGACGAUCUGUAGCUGGUCAGAGAGGACGACCAGCCACACUGGGACUGAGACACGGCCCAGACUCCUACGGGAGGCAGCAGUGGGGAAUUUUGGACAAUGGGGGCAACCCUGAUCCAGCCAAGCCGCGUGCGGGAAGAAGGCCUUCGGGU
RNAcentral lists this ribosomal RNA (379 nucleotides) under uncultured bacterium. Its description in RNAcentral is "bacterial SSU rRNA". It matches the Rfam family "Bacterial small subunit ribosomal RNA", at positions 42 to 423 of the family's 1533-position model. The record is from RNAcentral.